AUAGCACAGUGGCAGUGCGCCUGACUUGUAAUCAGGCGGUCUCCGGUUCAAUCCCGG
Molecule: transfer RNA, 57 nt
Filed under: Pavlova sp. CCMP459
Lineage: Eukaryota; Haptophyta; Pavlovophyceae; Pavlovales; Pavlovaceae
Rfam family: tRNA
About the family: Transfer RNA (tRNA) molecules are approximately 80 nucleotides in length. Their secondary structure includes four short double-helical elements and three loops (D, anti-codon, and T loops).
Source: RNAcentral